This 778-nucleotide ribosomal RNA is filed under the name uncultured bacterium. Its description in RNAcentral is "bacterial SSU rRNA". It matches the Rfam family "Bacterial small subunit ribosomal RNA", at positions 8 to 796 of the family's 1533-position model. The record is from RNAcentral.
AGAGUUUGAUCCUGGCUCAGGACGAACGCUGGCGGCGUGCUUAACACAUGCAAGUCGAACGGGGCUCGCUACUUCGGUGGUGGGUCUAGUGGCGAACGGGUGAGUAACACGUGGGCAACCUGCCCCCGGCUCUGGGAUAACUCCAAGAAAUUGGGGCUAAUACCGGAUGUGACCGCUGGCCGCAUGGUCUGGUGGUGGAAAGGGUUUCCGGCUGGGGAUGGGCCCGCGGCCUAUCAGCUUGUUGGUGGGGUAGUGGCCUACCAAGGCGACGACGGGUAGCCGGCCUGAGAGGGUGACCGGCCACACUGGGACUGAGACACGGCCCAGACUCCUACGGGAGGCAGCAGUGGGGAAUAUUGCGCAAUGGGCGGAAGCCUGACGCAGCGACGCCGCGUGGGGGAUGACGGCCUUCGGGUUGUAAACCUCUUUCAGCAGGGACGAAGCUCUCGGGUGACGGUACCUGCAGAAGAAGCACCGGCCAACUACGUGCCAGCAGCCGCGGUAAUACGUAGGGUGCAAGCGUUGUCCGGAAUUAUUGGGCGUAAAGAGCUCGUAGGCGGUUUGUCGCGUCGGCUGUGAAAUCCCGGAGCUCAACUCCGGGCCUGCAGUCGAUACGGGCAGACUCGAGUGUUGCAGGGGAGACUGGAAUUCCUGGUGUAGCGGUGAAAUGCGCAGAUAUCAGGAGGAACACCGGUGGCGAAGGCGGGUCUCUGGGCAACAACUGACGCUGAGGAGCGAAAGCGUGGGGAGCGAACAGGAUUAGAUACCCUAGUAGUCC